UAAGGAACUGCAGAAGGUGGUGUGUACAGCCCAGACCAUCACGGAAGCCAACCUUCCAUCCAUGGACUCUAAUUACACGACUUGCUCCCGCGGAAAGACAACCAACAUCAAAGACCCAUCGCACCCCGUGCAAUAGGUUUAUGACAAUAUAAAGAUAAAACUAAAGAACUGCAGAUGCUGGGGAUUUGAAACAAAAAAACCAGAGACUGCUGAAGGUCUGGGAAGAAAGCAGAGUUAACGUUUCCGGUCCAGCCACACUUCCUCAGGACGGGCAAUAGCUGGGAUAAAGGGGGAUUGCGUUUUAUGACAAUGUUUUGAGAUGAAAUGCUUUUCCUCCCAUUGAAGAAACUCACUGAAGACCUUGCAGCCUCAUCCUUGAUCCCUGGAGACCCCAAGAGCAAUCGCAAGAGGUUGGCAAGCCGCUCUCGUUGAUCUGAUUUCUAAUAGUGUGGGAUAUCAGUGGUACUGAAUGGCUGCUGUGUUUGCCCACUGCACCGCAGUUAUAAUUCACUGUGUGAAGCACUUUGCAACUUUUUAAGACACAAUAAAGUUGCUCUGUGACUGCAA
This is a long non-coding RNA of Rhincodon typus (whale shark), 567 nucleotides long. RefSeq lists it as uncharacterized. The record is from RefSeq and is a predicted model, not a curated record. NCBI's taxonomy places the organism in Eukaryota, Metazoa, Chordata, Chondrichthyes, Orectolobiformes, Rhincodontidae. The transcript is spliced from 2 exons.